CUGGAUGGUGUGUGUACCUCAUCUAAACCAUAGGGGAAACUGGUUUGAGAUACGAAAAGGCUUUAGCUUUCCUGUCUUCACAAACCCCACUGCAACCCUUCACCAUGGACCUUUGUCCCCACCUGGCCUAGAAAAGCUUCUUUCCUCAGACAUACCAGGCUGAUACUGGUGUACCCAUCACAGAGUUCAUGCUUGAAGCUCAGUUCUACUGGGCCCUUCCUGAAAAACAGCUAUUUCAUUGAAAACUGGACAACCAGAGUUACUUGAAGCUCAACUGCCUGAAAAAAAAAAAAAAAACUUACUCAAUAUG
Molecule: long non-coding RNA, 310 nt
Organism: Canis lupus familiaris (dog)
Lineage: Eukaryota; Metazoa; Chordata; Mammalia; Carnivora; Canidae
Exons: 3
Source: RefSeq, a predicted model, not a curated record